RNAcentral lists this ribosomal RNA (329 nucleotides) under uncultured eukaryote. Its description in RNAcentral is "partial 18S ribosomal RNA". It matches the Rfam family "Eukaryotic small subunit ribosomal RNA", at positions 1470 to 1796 of the family's 1831-position model. The record is from RNAcentral.
CCCUUAGAUGUUCUGGGCCGCACGCGCGCUACAAUGAUGAAUUCAACGAGUUUAUAACCUUGGUUGAAAAGCCUGGGUAAUCUUUUGAACUUUCGUCGUGAUGGGGCUAGACCCUUGCAAUUAUUGGUCUCCAACGAGGAAUUCCUAGUAAACGCAAGUCAUCAGCCUGCAUUGAUUACGUCCCUGCCCUUUGUACACACCGCCCGUCGCACCUACCGAUUGAAUGGUCCGGUGAAAUCUUCGGAUUGAGACUUUGAUUUCUUCACGGAAAACGCUGUUUUAAAAAGUUGAUUAAACCUUACCAUUUAGAGGAAGGUGAAGUCGUAACA